CUCUCUCUCUCUCUCUCUCUCUCUCUCCACCAUCGCCGGCGGCGACGCAGCGUUCUCCGUUUACAUCUGUCAGGUGCCAGAAGCUGCGAUUUACUCGAAGAUGGGAGAAUCUGCAAAGCCAUAUCUAAUGUCCCUUUAUAAGAAACCAUAUCUGAGGCAGUUACUUUACAAUGGAUAUGCAUGGCAGAGAUUUCAGCAGCGGUGUGGAAAUGCAAGGCAUUCUUCAAGAUUUGGAUUUUUAAAAGGGCUUGUCCUGAUCUUUAUAGUUUGGGAACUAUGGACUGGGAGAAACUCGAGGAAAUUUGAUGGCAAGAGUUUCGUGUUGGAGGGAGUUAUUAGGAAAGCAAAUGGUUGGAUCUAAGGCUGCUCACCAAAUGCCGGGGGACUUAAGGCAAUCUUUUCUGGAGGAUGUGCUCUCCAUUGGGAUAAAAAAGGAUGUGGGCUGGAAGUACUCAGUGUUAAUUACUAGGUGGGAGAAAAUUUUAGUCAUGACUGGGUUAAGCUAAACGUUGACGGCUCAUCCAGGAGGAACCUGGGAAUGGAUGGUGGAGGUGGUGUGCGCAGGGACUAGGAUGGGAAAGUGAUCUUUCCUUUCCACUACUACUAUAGAAGGGUUUUGAACACUGGUAGAGGUGAAGGCAUUUCUUGAUGGAGUGAAGAUCUGUAAAAGUCUAGGACUCUCAAAUGUCAAAAUAGAGUCGGAUUCAAAGGGAGAAAAACUCGGUGGCCGAUUGUUUGGUCUGUAUGGGAAGCAUUGGCACAGAGGACAGAAUUUAUAGAAGGAGAAGCAAUCUCCUGCGGGAGGUAAGAGGGCAUUUAGCUUUGGAUUUUGCUGGGGUUCGAAAUGUGAGGCGGAGCUGACUUAUCAAGACCUGCGUCACAGAUUGGUGGGUGUCCCUGGGUGUUUUGGUUCUUUUUUACUUUCUUAAGGGCCUGGCCUCAAUUUCAGCAGCAUCAGCCGCACCAGUUACAGGCAAAUCUUCAACAUCCGUAUCAGCAGCAAACCCCCAACAUCACCUGCAGCAUCCCCAUCUUCGGCAGCAGCCUCAGCAGCAGCAACAGCUACUACAUCUGCAAAAAUUUCACAGUACAUCUUCAAUUCCAGCAUCUGUAGCAGCACAGGUUGGCAGCAGCAUUAGCGUCAGAUCAGCAUUUUCGGCAGUCUUACCUACAGCAACACCUUUAUUAGUAGCAGCAUCAGCAACAUCAGACCACCAUCUUUGCUCAUCAAAUGGUGCUAUGGGAGCUGAGUGAAGUUCAAAAGCUUGAAAAAUCAACUCAACUCGAUGUCUACUGGGUCAGGUCAACUCAAAGCCUCGGGUCUUUGGAGGUGUUGAUUCCCCUAGGGACACUCAGACUUCAGCAACAAGUCUAAAGUCACUUAGAGAUUCCCAUGCUCAUUUAAAUGAGCAGUCACUAUUGAAUAAAAGUAGAGAGAAAUUGUUGCCAGAAAAUGAUGCUCCUAGUGUUUUACCUGCUAGUAAGCCUCACCGGUCAAUGGGAGACAUUCUGUCUACAAUGGAUACAUGACUCUCUCUACCUGUGCAUAGACCUGAAUUAUGUUUGGAGAAGCCCACAAAUAAACUAAAUGGAUCCAAUCCAAGUGUCAAGCACAACCUUUUGGGGACGUAAUAGUGUGAGUUUUUUGUUGCCUCUCUCAUGCUUCAAUUUGUAACUAAGUAGAAGUCUUGAUAUGUUUGGAUGCAAUUAAAUGCUCUUGUGAGCUUCAAGACAACUGUUAUCUAAGCAGUUUGUAUUUUGUCUUUAUCUUUGACUUUCUCUAGAGUAGUUUGAUUUAUUUUAUACUCCUUGGUGAUGAAUUGGAAUCCGUGUUGUUUGUUCCUUUGCUUUUUGCUGUGCGAAACAAAUGCUAGUUCCCUUUGUGAUCAUAUGGAAUAUCAGGCUGUUUGCUUGGUUGUGAUUGGCCCAUACUAUUAUUUUGAAUUUAUUUCUUCCCUGGCCUCUCUCUGCUUUAUGUGAAAAAAGGCUGGUUUUGCAAGUGUUAACUUUCAAAUAUGAGUAAUUUGAUGGUUUCAAUCUUUAAUGUGGAAAAUUAGAUGUGGGGUUGCUGAUAUUUUAUAUUUGUUUCUGUAGGCGAGAAAGAAUCUGUCAAUGGAAUCAAUUGAUUCUUCGGGUCAAGAGGAUCAAGUUUCCCUGUGCUACCACCAUGUUAUGUAGCUUCUCAAUAUAUUUUUCAACAUCCAAAUUGCAGGACUGAAGGCAAUCCGCACAAAGAGACUGAAGAGAUUCAAACAUGGUUCUUGUGUUUGAGAUCCUGACGAUUCAUCAAGUGGGACUCCCAGGAAUGGUCCUGGCCUGGAAGUCAGGUUUCUCCACCCUUCGGAUUCACCACACAUGGAUGAAGAAAAGGAUGGUUAGGAUUGGGCCUAUGAAUACUUUGUUGAAGCAAUGGAAGGCUGCGGUUCAAAGGAAACGAAUGAGGCCGGCCGAAAGCACUCGUCCUGAAGAGUGCCAAGAAACACCUGCGAAUGCAUUAGCCUCUGGAGAAGUUUCUUGCAACCACUUUGUUUUCAUAUAGUCUUUAAGGAUUGGGUGGUAUGCAACAACAAAAAGAUUAAAAUGGUCCGAAACAGCCUGAGUUUUAGCCUGACUCUUCAUGCAGGCUAGGUGAACUGUCUGAAUGGCCUGGAUUGGAUAUACACUCCAGGUGGGCCCCAUAAUCAAAUUGGCGGUAGUUGUCCACUCUCAAAUUGUUCUGUGGUGUGGCCUGCCUGAGAUUUGGAUUGGGCACCUGAGGUCUCUAGGUUAUUUGUCUGAUGGAUACAUCAUGUGAGCUCCACUUGUUUGGUACUGCUGUAGCUUAUGGUGGUACCAUUCCCAACAGAGUGUUUCCUUGUAUUGCUCAUGUUAUUUCUAAUGAUUUGUACUUU
Magnolia sinica is the source of this 2891-nucleotide long non-coding RNA. RefSeq lists it as uncharacterized. The transcript is spliced from 8 exons. NCBI's taxonomy places the organism in Eukaryota, Viridiplantae, Streptophyta, Magnoliopsida, Magnoliales, Magnoliaceae. The record is from RefSeq and is a predicted model, not a curated record.